GGGAUGUAGCUUAAUGGUAAAGCCUCAGUCUUCCAAACUGAUGACGCGGGUUCGAUUCCCGUCAUCCC
Molecule: transfer RNA, 68 nt
Filed under: Rothia dentocariosa
Lineage: Bacteria; Bacillati; Actinomycetota; Actinomycetes; Micrococcales; Micrococcaceae
Also listed under: 1 other name
Rfam family: tRNA
About the family: Transfer RNA (tRNA) molecules are approximately 80 nucleotides in length. Their secondary structure includes four short double-helical elements and three loops (D, anti-codon, and T loops). Further hydrogen bonds mediate the characteristic L-shaped molecular structure. tRNAs have two regions of fundamental functional importance: the anti-codon, which is responsible for specific mRNA codon recognition, and the 3' end, to which the tRNAs corresponding amino acid is attached (by aminoacyl-tRNA synthetases). tRNAs cope with the degeneracy of the genetic code in two manners: having more than one tRNA (with a specific anti-codon) for a particular amino acid; and 'wobble' base-pairing, i.e. permitting non-standard base-pairing at the 3rd anti-codon position.
Source: RNAcentral